RNAcentral lists this ribosomal RNA (500 nucleotides) under uncultured bacterium. RNAcentral describes it as "partial 16S ribosomal RNA". It matches the Rfam family "Bacterial small subunit ribosomal RNA", at positions 29 to 523 of the family's 1533-position model. The record is from RNAcentral.
AGUGAACGCUGGCGGCAUGCUUUACACAUGCAAGUCGAACGGUAACAGGGUGCUUGCACCGCUGACGAGUGGCGAACGGGUGAGUAAUGCGUCGGAACGUGCCGAGUAGGGGGGGAUAACGCAGCGAAAGUUGUGCUAAUACCGCAUACGUACUGAGGUAGAAAGUGGGGGACCUUCGGGCCUCACGCUAUUCGAGCGGCCGACGUCGGAUUAGCUAGUAGGUGAGGUAAAGGCUCACCUAGGCGGCGAUCAGUAGCGGGUCUGAGAGGAUGAUCCGCCACACUGGGACUGAGACACGGCCCAGACUCCUACGGGAGGCAGCAGUGGGGAAUUUUGGACAAUGGGCGAAAGCCUGAUCCAGCCAUGCCGCGUGUCUGAAGAAGGCCUUCGGGUUGUAAAGGACUUUUGUCAGGGAGGAAAUCCCUAGCGUUAAUACCGCUGGGGGAUGACAGUACCUGAAGAAUAAGCACCGGCUAACUACGUGCCAGCCGCCGCAGUAA